Molecule: ribosomal RNA, 465 nt
Filed under: Vreelandella stevensii
Lineage: Bacteria; Pseudomonadati; Pseudomonadota; Gammaproteobacteria; Oceanospirillales; Halomonadaceae
Description: partial 16S ribosomal RNA
Rfam family: Bacterial small subunit ribosomal RNA
Source: RNAcentral
CCUACGGGGGGCUGCAGUGGGGAAUAUUGGACAAUGGGGGGAACCCUGAUCCAGCCAUGCCGCGUGUGUGAAGAAGGCCCUCGGGUUGUAAAGCACUUUCAGUGAGGAAGAACGCCUGGUGGUUAAUACCCAUCAGGAAAGACAUCACUCACAGAAGAAGCACCGGCUAACUCCGUGCCAGCAGCCGCGGUAAUACGGAGGGUGCGAGUGUUAAUCGGAAUUACUGGGCGUAAAGCGCGCGUAGGUGGCUUGAUAAGCCGGUUGUGAAAGCCCCGGGCUCAACCUGGGAACGGCAUCCGGAACUGUCAAGCUAGAGUGCAGGAGAGGAAGGUAGAAUUCCCGGUGUAGCGGUGAAAUGCGUAGAGAUCGGGAGGAAUACCAGUGGCGAAGGCGGCCUUCUGGACUGACACUGACACUGAGGUGCGAAAGCGUGGGUAGCAAACAGGAUUAGAUACCCCAGUAGUC